Molecule: ribosomal RNA, 311 nt
Filed under: uncultured eukaryote
Lineage: Eukaryota
Description: partial 18S ribosomal RNA
Rfam family: Eukaryotic small subunit ribosomal RNA
Source: RNAcentral
CCCCUAGACGUUCUGGGCUGCACGCGCGCUACAAUAAUACGCACAGCGAGUAUCACCGAGCUCGAAAGGGCAAGGUAAACAAUAGAAAAGGUACUGUAGUGGUUAUAGAUCCUUGUAAUUAUUGAUCUUCAACGAGGAAUUCCUAGUAAGUAUGUGUCAUCAUCACGCACUGAUUACGUCCCUGCCCUUUGUACACACCGCCCGUCGCUCCUACCGAUUGGGUGAGCCGAUGAAACUCUCGGAUGUAGGCUAUUCAUAGCCCGCAGAAGAGAUUUGAAUCGUAGCGCUUAGAGGAAGGAGAAGUCGUAACA